This 266-nucleotide ribosomal RNA is filed under the name uncultured Planctomycetota bacterium. Its description in RNAcentral is "uncultured planctomycete partial 16S ribosomal RNA". It matches the Rfam family "Bacterial small subunit ribosomal RNA", at positions 565 to 829 of the family's 1533-position model. Lineage: Bacteria; Pseudomonadati; Planctomycetota. The record is from RNAcentral.
GAGCACGUAGGUGGGUUUGUAAGUCAGACGUGAAAGCCUUCUGUUCAACGGAAGAAUUGCAUCUGAAACUACAAACUUUGAGUGUAGGAGGGGAGAAUGGAACUUCUGGUGGAGCGGUGAAAUGCGUAGAUAUCAGAAGGAACGCCGGCGGCGAAAGCGAUUCUCUGGCCUAUUACUGACACUCAGUGUGCGAAAGCUAGGGGAGCAAACGGGAUUAGAUACCCCGGUGGUCCUAGCCGUAAACGAUGGGCACUAAGUAGAGGGGU